AACCAAGGCCGCGUGCCUAAUAAUGCAAGUCGAGCGGACAGAAGGGAGCUUGCUCCCGGAUGUUAGCGGCGGACGGGUGAGUAACACGUGGGUAACCUGCCUGUAAGACUGGGAUAACUCCGGGAAACCGGAGCUAAUACCGGAUAGUUCCUUGAACCGCAUGGUUCAAGGAUGAAAGACGGUUUCGGCUGUCACUUACGGAUGGACCCGCGGCGCAUUAGCUAGUUGGUGGGGUAAUGGCUCACCAAGGCGACGAUGCGUAGCCGACCUGAGAGGGUGAUCGGCCACACUGGGACUGAGACACGGCCCAGACUCCUACGGGAGGCAGCAGUAGGGAAUCUUCCGCAUUGGACGAAAGUCUGACGGACAAACGCCGCGUGAGUGAAAAGGUUUUGGUAU
RNAcentral lists this ribosomal RNA (399 nucleotides) under Bacillus pumilus. RNAcentral's name for it is "bacterial SSU rRNA". It matches the Rfam family "Bacterial small subunit ribosomal RNA", at positions 38 to 423 of the family's 1533-position model. Lineage: Bacteria; Bacillati; Bacillota; Bacilli; Caryophanales; Bacillaceae. The record is from RNAcentral.